ACGGCCCUGACUGAAAACCAGCAGUUAUACUGUAGCUGUUGGUUUCAAGCAGAGGCCCAAAGGACCAUCUUCCUGUGAUCUGUUGAUUUUUCUGGAACCUCAGCAGAGAAUGGCUAUUUCAUUUGGAAGAAACAACC
This is a small nucleolar RNA of Pteropus vampyrus (large flying fox), 137 nucleotides long. The record is from Ensembl. Lineage: Eukaryota; Metazoa; Chordata; Mammalia; Chiroptera; Pteropodidae.